GAGGAAUUGGCGGGGGAGCACCGCAACGGGAGGAGCGUGCGGUUUAAUUGGAUUCAACACCGGAAAACUCACCAAGGGAGACCAUCACAUGAAAGCCAGGCUAAUGACUUUGCUUGAUUCUUGGAGAGGUGGUGCAUGGCCGUCGUCAGUUCGUACCGUAAGGCGUUCUCUUAAGUGAGAUAACGAACGAGACCCUCAUCUAUAAUUGCUACUUCAUUCUCCGGAAUGGAGGCACAUUAUCGAGACCGCUGGCGCUAAGUCAGAGGAAGGAGAGGUCAACGGUAGGUCAGUAUGCCCCGAAUCUCUUGGGCUACACGCGCGCUACAAAGGGCGGGACAAUGGGCUACGACGCCGAAAGGCGAAGUCAAUCUCGAAACCCGUCCGUAGUUCGGAUUGAGGCUUGUAACUCAGCCUCAUGAAGCUGGAUUCCGUAGUAAUCGCGAAUCAAAAACUCGCGGUGAAUAUGCCCCUGCUCCUUGCACACACCGC
Molecule: ribosomal RNA, 489 nt
Filed under: uncultured archaeon
Lineage: Archaea
Description: bacterial SSU rRNA
Rfam family: Archaeal small subunit ribosomal RNA
Source: RNAcentral